UGAGGGAUGGAAGAUUCCAAUCAUACUUGGCUUUGGAUGGCCCAUCCUGCCUACAUGAUCGGAUUGCGAGAGAAACGUGUGGAAGUGAUAUCUGAUUCUUAUUUAGAAUGUUGUCGCUUUUCAUGAGAUGUUUUUGCCUUGGGUUACAAGGUAUUGUUUAGUGUUUGGGGUUUUACCUCUUUUGAUUAAUAAUCCAGGACUGCAAUGAAAUUACCAUCAGUACACUUAACAAACAAAGUGUCCAUGAUUUCAGACGUUGAAAAAAGACCCCUAAAACUAAUAUCGAUUUAGAGUUCUUAAUAAAUACUUUUAAAAUAAAUAUUGUAUGUAUCUUUUAAUAAAUUUUGAGAUGAAAACAAGUAUAUAUUUAUAU
RNAcentral lists this long non-coding RNA (373 nucleotides) under Brassica napus (rape). RNAcentral's name for it is "long non-coding RNA (BNAP_LNC010561)". The record is from RNAcentral. Lineage: Eukaryota; Viridiplantae; Streptophyta; Magnoliopsida; Brassicales; Brassicaceae.